Molecule: ribosomal RNA, 447 nt
Filed under: uncultured bacterium
Lineage: Bacteria
Description: bacterial SSU rRNA
Rfam family: Bacterial small subunit ribosomal RNA
Source: RNAcentral
AACGAACGCUGGCGGCAGGCCUAACACAUGCAAGUCGAACGCCCCGCAAGGGAGUGGCAGACGGGUGAGUAACACGUGGGAACAUACCCUUCGGUUCGGAAUAACUCAGGGAAACUUGAGCUAAGACCGGAUACGUCCGCGAGGAGAAAGAUUCAUCGCCGGAGGAUUGGCCCGCGUCCGAUUAGCUAGUUGGUGAGGUAACGGCUCACCAAGGCGACGAUCGGUAGCUGGUCUGAGAGGAUGAUCAGCCACAUUGGGACUGAGACACGGCCCAAACUCCUACGGGAGGCAGCAGUGGGGAAUAUUGGACAAUGGGCGAAAGCCUGAUCCAGCCAUGCCGCGUGAGUGAUGAAGGCCCUAGGGUUGUAAAGCUCUUUCGUCAGGGACGAUAAUGACGGUACCUGAAGAAGAAGCCCCGGCUAACUUCGUGCCAGCCGCCGCUGUAAC